AUCCAGCUGAUGAGUCUCAAAUAGAAUGAAACGCGAGUCUCAGAU
Molecule: non-coding RNA, 45 nt
Filed under: Schistosoma mattheei
Lineage: Eukaryota; Metazoa; Platyhelminthes; Trematoda; Strigeidida; Schistosomatidae
Source: RNAcentral